GGCUUUGUAGCUUAGUGGUUAGAGCACCGCCAACCCAGAGGUCAAAGGUUCGAAUCCUUUCUUCUCCA
RNAcentral lists this transfer RNA (68 nucleotides) under Flavobacterium sp. 102. RNAcentral's name for it is "tRNA-OTHER". It matches the Rfam family "tRNA". Rfam says of the family: Transfer RNA (tRNA) molecules are approximately 80 nucleotides in length. The record is from RNAcentral. Lineage: Bacteria; Pseudomonadati; Bacteroidota; Flavobacteriia; Flavobacteriales; Flavobacteriaceae.